AGCGGGGAAAAGCUUGCUUUUCCGCCGGCGACCGGCGCACGGGUGCGCACCGCGUAUGGAACCUGCCUUGUACAGGGGAAUAGCCCAGGGAAACUUGGAUUAAUGCCCCGUAGUACCGUAUUUCGGCAUCGUUAUACGGUUAAAGCCUUCGGGCGGUACAAGAUGGCCAUGCGUCCCAUUAGCUGGAUGGUAAGGUAACGGCUUACCAUGGCUACGAUGGGUAGGGGCCCUGAGAGGGGGAUCCCCCACACUGGUACUGAGACACGGACCAGACUCCUACGGGAGGCAGCAGUGAGGAAUAUUGGACAAUGGAGGAGACUCUGAUCCAGCCAUGCCGCGUGCAGGAAGAAUGCCCUAUGGGUAGUAAACUGCUUUUAUACGGGAAGAAAAAGAGCUACGUGUAGCUUACUGACGGUACCGUAAGAAUAAGGACCGGCUAACUCCGUGCCAGCAGCCGCGGUAAUACGGAGGGUCCGAGCGUUAUCCGGAAUUAUUGGGUUUAAAGGGUCCGUAGGCGGGCCGAUAAGUCAGGGGUGAAAGUCUGCCGCUCAACGGUAGAACUGCCUUUGAUACUGUCGGUCUUGAGUUAUAGUGAAGUUGCCGGAAUAUGUAGUGUAGCGGUGAAAUGCAUAGAUAUUACAUAGAACACCGAUUGCGAAGGCAGGUGACUAACUAUAUACUGACGCUGAUGGACGAAAGCGUGGGGAGCGAACAGGAUUAGAUACCCUGGUAGUCCACGCCGUAAACGAUGGAUACUAGCUGUCCGGAACCUUGAGUUCUGGGCGGCCAAGCGAAAGUGAUAAGUAUCCCACCUGGGGAGUACGUUCGCAAGAAUGAA
Molecule: ribosomal RNA, 838 nt
Filed under: Maribacter sp. TBL_11
Lineage: Bacteria; Pseudomonadati; Bacteroidota; Flavobacteriia; Flavobacteriales; Flavobacteriaceae
Description: bacterial SSU rRNA
Rfam family: Bacterial small subunit ribosomal RNA
Source: RNAcentral